GGCACAGGAGUUGCUCCUCAAAGCAAGUCUGGUGCGGCCAAGCGCGGCGCUUCCUUUCGGACCUGAGACCCAGAUCCUCAAAACAGAGCUAGCGGUAAGGAGGUCAUAAUAUUAACGAACUCUCAGGACUGCUAUGAGGAUAAAAUGAGAUCAUCAUCAUUAUCACUUACUCAAUGCUUACUACAAUCUUGGCACUCCUCUAAGUGUUAACAAAUACAUCAACUCUAACAAUAACUCCACAAGGAAGAAAUCCUACUAGUGCAUAAGUGAACUUCAGGAAGCUUCCUAUUCCCCGUGGAGUUUGGAAGGAGAAGCGUUUCUGUAUGCUUCUGUUGAGAAGGGAAGAGGAGUCUUCCUGCUUGGACACUGGGCUUCUGAAAAGGCCAUGUGCUCUCCUGUCUCACAGUUUUCUUUCUUUUACUUUUUUUGGGCUUGUCUUUUUUCUUUUUUUAUUCUUUUUUUCUUACCUCACAGUCUUGUAUGUGUUUAAACUGUCACAAGAAUGAGCAUUGGAUGUGGUAGAAAAAAAUCUUGGAUUAGUGCCUCUCAUCAGUCCCUAAAAAUACGUAUGUAUCUCUCCUCAACUCCUGGUGACUCUCUAAGCUUAUGGUAUGCUUUGUAUAUAGUUUUGAGCUUCCCCAAUGAUUUUUAAAACAGGACAAAAUCCCAUAUGAACAUUCUGUUAUACUCCAUUAAAUUGUCAAUACCAGAGAUACGGGAAGAUUGUUUUCUCAUUCUAACUUUAUAUAUCCAAUAUCUAACAAAGCAGCUGCAAAAUGGUUGAUACUCAGUAAAUAUUUGUUGAAUGAAUGAAGGAAUGAAAAGCCAAAUGUAAUAUGUAGAAAAGUUGAUCAUAAAUUCCUUGGUACACAAUAGACAGACAAAGCAUAAUCUAGGAAAUGUGCACCCUGAGAAAUUGCUAUCAUCAUCUUCAUACCUUAUAACAUCUAAAGUUCUUAAACUGGUCCCCUUAAUACCAUAGCACUUAUUGUCUGUAUUUUUAUACUUUUAUGCUUUGGUUUCAUUUUCUACCUAUUAGUUAAACAAUUAUGACAACUGUGGGGAUAAAUUUAAAACAUUACUGUGUUUCUAUAGAGAGUUCUUCUGGAAUGUAGUGAGUAUGAAAUUAUCUCAAAUGUACUCUGAAUUAUUAAAAGGUACAGUUCAAUAAAUAUUUUUAUUUUUGUUCAUUCUUCCCCAAAUCACAUUAAAAUGAUCCUUUUGCACUUAA
Molecule: long non-coding RNA, 1231 nt
Organism: Rhinopithecus roxellana (golden snub-nosed monkey)
Lineage: Eukaryota; Metazoa; Chordata; Mammalia; Primates; Cercopithecidae
Exons: 3
Source: RefSeq, a predicted model, not a curated record